CGUAGGAGGCGAGCGUUAUCCGGAUUCACUGGGCGUAAAGCGCGUGCAGGCGGUUUGGUAAGUUGGGCGUGAAAGCUCCCGGCUCAACUGGGAGAGGUCGUUCAAUACUACCGAACUAGAGAACAGAAGAGGAAGAUGGAAUUCCCGGUGUAGUGGUGAAAUGCGUAGAUAUCGGGAGGAACACCAGUGGCGAAGGCGAUCUUCUGGUCUGUUUCUGACGCUCAGACGCGACAGCUAGUGUAGUAAACGGGAUUAGAGACCCCGGUAAUCCUAGCCGUAAACGAUGUGAACUUGGCGUCGGUGGCUUAAACACCAUCGGUGCCGAAGCAAACGCGAUAAGUUCACCGCCUGGGGACUACGGCCGCAAGGUUA
RNAcentral lists this ribosomal RNA (372 nucleotides) under uncultured organism. RNAcentral's name for it is "bacterial SSU rRNA". It matches the Rfam family "Bacterial small subunit ribosomal RNA", at positions 526 to 896 of the family's 1533-position model. The record is from RNAcentral.